Molecule: ribosomal RNA, 115 nt
Filed under: Glomus sp.
Lineage: Eukaryota; Fungi; Glomeromycota; Glomeromycetes; Glomerales; Glomeraceae
Description: partial small subunit ribosomal RNA
Rfam family: Eukaryotic small subunit ribosomal RNA
Source: RNAcentral
UAAAUAGCUAGGCUUAGCAUUGCUAGGUCGACAGCUUCUUAGAGGGACUAUCGGUGUUUAACCGAUGGAAGUUUGAGGCAAUAACAGGUCUGUGAUGCCCUUAGAUGUUCUGGGC